Molecule: long non-coding RNA, 479 nt
Organism: Papaver somniferum (opium poppy)
Lineage: Eukaryota; Viridiplantae; Streptophyta; Magnoliopsida; Ranunculales; Papaveraceae
Exons: 3
Source: RefSeq, a predicted model, not a curated record
GUGGGAUAAUAGAGCAUCUCGAAAAUUCGAAAUCCCCUAUAUGAUCCCCCACUCCUUUAUAGCAGAGCUUCUCCAAUCAUUAAUCAUCAUUCAUCAAAUUGUUGUGAUUUUUCAGGAGAUGAUUAAAGGUAAAAGGAGUAACCUGACUGCAGUUCUCAUUUUCUUAGAGAUUCAGGGAGAGAAAGGACAUUAGGAGGCAUGUUGAAGUGAUAACAAGAGGCAGGCUUUCAGACAUCGAAGCUGCUGAAUCGCUGGGUCCUGAUGGUUCUGCGCCGAAAAUUGUUGCUCCUGUUGGGUUUGUUGUGUUCAGAAUUGAUGAACUUGUGCUGUAAUUAUGAAAUAUGGAACAAUCGGCUUUGCCAUAUCCACAGGCAUAGUCAAGCGCAACUUGUAAGGCUGGUUGUGAAGCACUCUGGCUGGCGACACACCAACUUCCCCCUGAUGAUGAUGCAGCAGUUGAAGGAUUAUUUGGAUUUGUC